This 18-nucleotide ribosomal RNA is filed under the name Monascus pallens. Its description in RNAcentral is "partial 28S ribosomal RNA". Lineage: Eukaryota; Fungi; Ascomycota; Eurotiomycetes; Eurotiales; Aspergillaceae. The record is from RNAcentral.
GUACCCCCCGCCACGCAC